Molecule: ribosomal RNA, 460 nt
Filed under: uncultured bacterium
Lineage: Bacteria
Description: partial 16S ribosomal RNA
Rfam family: Bacterial small subunit ribosomal RNA
Source: RNAcentral
CCUACGGGUGGCAGCAGUGGGGAAUAUUGGGCAAUGGGCGCAAGCCUGAACCAGCCAUGCCGCGUGCAGGAAGACGGCUCUAUGAGUUGUAAACUGCUUUUGUACGAGGGUAAACGCAGAUACGCGUAUCUGUCUGAAAGUAUCGUACGAAUAAGGAUCGGCUAACUCCGUGCCAGCAGCCGCGGUAAUACGGAGGAUUCAAGCGUUAACCGGAUUUAUUGGGUUUAAAGGGUGCGUAGGCGGUCGGAUAAGUUAGAGGUGAAAUCCCGAGGCUCAACUUCGGAAUUGCCUCUGAUACUGUUAGGCUAGAGAGUAGUAGAGGUAGGCAGAAUGUAUGGUGUAGCGGUGAAAUGCUUAGAGAUCAUACAGAACACCGAUUGCGAAGGCAGCUUACCAAGCUACUUCUGACGUUGAGGCACGAAAGCGUGGGGAGCAAACAGGAUUAGAUACCCUUGUAGUC